Molecule: ribosomal RNA, 327 nt
Filed under: uncultured eukaryote
Lineage: Eukaryota
Description: partial 18S ribosomal RNA
Rfam family: Eukaryotic small subunit ribosomal RNA
Source: RNAcentral
CCCUUAGAUGUUCUGGGCCGCACGCGCGCUACACUGACUCAUGCAACAAGUUUUGUCCUUGGCUGAUAGGCCUGGGUAAUCUUUGAACGUGAAUCGUGAUGGGGAUAGAUGAUUGCAAUUAUUCAUCUUCAACGAGGAAUUCCUAGUAAACGCAAGUCAUCAGCUUGCAUUGAUUACGUCCCUGCCCUUUGUACACACCGCCCGUCGCACCUACCGAUUGAAUGGUCCGGUGAAAUCUUCGGAUCUGAGAGAUGUCUGAUUAAUUUCGGACGCCUUUUGGAAAAGUUGUUUAAACCUUACCAUUUAGAGGAAGGUGAAGUCGUAACA